RNAcentral lists this ribosomal RNA (459 nucleotides) under uncultured bacterium. RNAcentral's name for it is "partial 16S ribosomal RNA". It matches the Rfam family "Bacterial small subunit ribosomal RNA", at positions 338 to 795 of the family's 1533-position model. The record is from RNAcentral.
CCUACGGGAGGCAGCAGUGAGGAAUAUUGGUCAAUGGGCGCGAGCCUGAACCAGCCAAGUCGCGUGAGGGAAGACGGUCCUAUGGAUUGUAAACCUCUUUUGUCGGGGAGCAAAAGACGCCACGCGUGGCGUUCCGAGAGUACCCGAAGAAAAAGCAUCGGCUAACUCCGUGCCAGCAGCCGCGGUAAUACGGAGGAUGCGAGCGUUAUCCGGGUUUAGUGGGUUUAAAGGGUGCGCAGGCGGAAGAUCAAGUCAGCGGUAAAAUUGAGAGGCUCAACCUCUUCGAGCCGUUGAAACUGGUUUUCUUGAGUGAGCGAGAGGUAUGCGGAAUGCGUGGUGUAGCGGUGAAAUGCAUAGAUAUCACGCAGAACUCCGAUUGCGAAGGCAGCAUACCGGCGCUCAACUGACGCUCAUGCACGAAAGUGUGGGGAUCGAACAGGAUUAGAUACCCCAGUAGUC